RNAcentral lists this small nuclear RNA (139 nucleotides) under Suricata suricatta (meerkat). Its description in RNAcentral is "U2 spliceosomal RNA (ENSSSUG00005001228.1)". It matches the Rfam family "U2 spliceosomal RNA". Rfam says of the family: U2 is a small nuclear RNA (snRNA) component of the spliceosome (involved in pre-mRNA splicing). Complementary binding between U2 snRNA (in an area lying towards the 5' end but 3' to hairpin I) and the branchpoint sequence (BPS) of the intron results the bulging out of an unpaired adenosine, on the BPS, which initiates a nucleophilic attack at the intronic 5' splice site, thus starting the first of two transesterification reactions that mediate splicing. Lineage: Eukaryota; Metazoa; Chordata; Mammalia; Carnivora; Herpestidae. The record is from Rfam by way of RNAcentral.
AUCGCUUCUCGGCCUUUUGGCUAAGAUCAAGUGUAGUAUCUGUUCUUAUCAGUUUAAUAAAUGAAGAUAAAACUAAAAAGCUCCAAAAAAGAUCCAAAAGAUAACAAUUACAUACUUCUUUUUGUUGAAAUGAUCUUUU